This is a non-coding RNA of Oryctolagus cuniculus (rabbit), 1848 nucleotides long. Lineage: Eukaryota; Metazoa; Chordata; Mammalia; Lagomorpha; Leporidae. The record is from RefSeq and is a predicted model, not a curated record.
CUCACUGCAGGUUGAGCGGCUGCUCUAGGGCCAGGGAGUGCUGGUGGGAGCUUUGCUGUGGGGUGGGCAAGCUGUGCCUGGUUCUGCAGAGGCAGUUGGGAGCACCCCCAGGUGUUGUGAAGGGAAAAGGACAGGGUACUCACGGAGGGUAAAGGAGUUGGACAUGUAUAUGUUGGAUUCCGAGUGUGAGGGAUGGACAGGUUCACACAGGAUCUGAGUGUGAGUGUGGGGGAUGGACAGGUUCACACAGGAUCUGAGUGUGAGUGUGGGGGAUGGACAGGUUCACACAGGAUCUGAGUGUGAGUGUGGGGGAUGGACAGGUUCACACAGGAUCUGAGUGUGAGUGUGGGGGAUGGACAGGUUCACACAGGAUCUGAGUGUGAGUGUGAGGGAUGGACAGGUUCACACAGGAUCUGAGUGUGAGUGUGGGGGAUGGACAGGUUCACACAGGAUCUGAGUGUGAGUGUGGGGGAUGGACAGGUUCACACAGGAUCUGAGUGUGAGUGUGGGGGAUGGACAGGUUCACACAGGAUCUGAGUGUGAGUGUGGGGGAUGGACAGGUUCACACAGGAUCUGAGUGUGAGUGUGAGGGAUGGACAGGUUCACACAGGAUCUGAGUGUGAGUGUGGGGGAUGGACAGGUUCACACAGGAUCUGAGUGUGAGUGUGGGGGAUGGACAGGUUCACACAGGAUCUGAGUGUGAGUGUGGGGGAUGGACAGGUUCACACAGGAUCUGAGUGUGAGUGUGAGGGAUGGACAGGUUCACACAGGAUCUGAGUGUGAGUGUGGGGGAUGGACAGGUUCACACAGGAUCUGAGUGUGAGUGUGAGGCGUGAACAGGUUCACACAGGAUCUGAGUGUGAGUGUGGGGGAUGGACAGGUUCACACAGGAUCUGAGUGUGAGUGUGGGGGAUGGACAGGUUCACACAGGAUCUGAGUGUGAGUGUGAGGCGUGGACAGGUUCACACAGGAUCUGAGUGUGAGUGUGGGGGAUGGGCAGGUUCACACUGGUUCUGCCUGUGAAGGGAAUGGACAGAUUUGAACAUGUUUACACAGGCUCUGGGUAUGAGGGUGGACAGGUUUACACAGGCCUGGGUGUAGGGGUGGACUGGUUUAUACAGGCUGUGGGUGUGACGGUGGACAGGUUCACACAGGCUGUGGGUGUAGGGGUGGACAGGUUUACACAGGUUCUGAGUGUGAGGGGUGGACACACUUAGGGCUCUCAGUGAAUGCACAGGUUUAUACUUAGCCCUGUGUAUGCAGGAAUGGGCAGGUUCACACAGGUUCUGAGUGUGAGGGGUGGACAGAUGUGCCCGCACUACUGAGUAUUAGAAGAUGUAUGGGUGGCCGGCGCCGUAGCUCACUAGGCUAAUCCUCCGCCUGCAGCGCCGGCACACCGGCUUCUAGUCCCGGUCGGGGCGCCAGAUUCUGUCCCGGUUGCCCCUCUUCCAGGCCAGCUCUCUGCUGUGGCCCGGGAGUGCAGUGGAGGAUGGCCCAGGUCCUUGGGCCCUGCACCCACAUGGGAGACCAGGAGAAGCACCUGGCUCCUGGAUUCAGAUCUGCGCAGCGCGCCGGCCACAGCAGCCAUUGGAGAGUGAACCAACGGCAAAAGGAAGACCUUUCUCUCUCUCUCUCUCUCUCUCACUGUCCACUCUGCCUGUCAAAAAAAAAAGAAGAUGUAUGGGUGUACUCAGGGCUCCAAGUGUAAGGGUGAUGGCCAGGGGUGCACAGGUCUGGGUGUGAGUGGAUCAACAGGUUUACACAGGGCUCUGAGUGUGAGGAUUGUUUUAGGUUUUAUCUGGGCUCUGAGUGUGAUGGGAUAGACAGGUUUCAGAGGCUACUGAAUCU